UGCAGUGUAGCAUAAUGGUUUAAGCAUUGGACUAUGACUCUGGGGACCAGGGUUCAAUUCCCACUCUGCCA
Molecule: non-coding RNA, 71 nt
Organism: Phrynosoma platyrhinos (Desert horned lizard)
Lineage: Eukaryota; Metazoa; Chordata; Lepidosauria; Squamata; Phrynosomatidae
Source: the annotation of a GenBank genome assembly